RNAcentral lists this ribosomal RNA (414 nucleotides) under uncultured microorganism. RNAcentral's name for it is "bacterial SSU rRNA". It matches the Rfam family "Archaeal small subunit ribosomal RNA", at positions 459 to 872 of the family's 1478-position model. The record is from RNAcentral.
CAGCCGCCGCGGUAAUACCGGCGGCCCGAGUGGCGGUCACUAUUAUUGGGCUUAAAGCGUCCGUAGCCGGGUUGGGAAGUCCUCCGGGAAAUCUGGCCGCUUAACGGUCAGAAUGCCGGAGGAUACUCCCAGCCUAGGGAGCGGGAGAGGCCGAGGGUAUUCCCGGAGUAGGGGGGAAAUCCUAUAAUCCCGGGAGGACCACCUGUGGCGAAGGCGCUCGGCUGGAACGCGUCCGACGGGGAGGGACGAAGGCCAGGGGAGCAAACCGGAUUAGAUACCCGGGUAGUCCUGGCGGUAAACGAUGCGGACUUUGUGUCGGACAAGCUAUGAGCUUGUCCGGUGCCGGAGGGAAACCGUUAAGUCCGCCGCCUGGGGAGUACGGCCGCAAGGCUGAAACUUAAAGGAAUUGGCGGG